CCUACGGGGGGCAGCAGUGAGGAAUAUUGGUCAAUGGGCGUAAGCCUGAACCAGCCAAGUCGCGUGAGGGAUGAAGGUUCUAUGGAUCGUAAACCUCUUUUAUAAGGGAACAAAGUGUGGGUCGAGUCCCGUUCUGUAUGUACCUUAUGAAUAAGCAUCGGCUAACUCCGUGCCAGCAGCCGCGGUAAUACGGAGGAUCCGAGCGUUAUCCGGAUUUAUUGGGUUUAAAGGGUGCGUAGGCGGCCUUUUAAGUCAGCGGUGAAAGUCUGUGGCUCAACCAUAGCAUUGCCGUUGAAACUGGGAGGCUUGAGUAUGUUUGAGGCAGGCGGAAUGCGUGGUGUAGCGGUGAAAUGCUUAGAUAUCGCGCAGAACCCCGAUUGCGAAGGCAGCCUGCC
Molecule: ribosomal RNA, 395 nt
Filed under: uncultured bacterium
Lineage: Bacteria
Description: partial 16S ribosomal RNA
Rfam family: Bacterial small subunit ribosomal RNA
Source: RNAcentral